This 357-nucleotide ribosomal RNA is filed under the name Triticum aestivum (bread wheat). Its description in RNAcentral is "partial small subunit ribosomal RNA". Lineage: Eukaryota; Viridiplantae; Streptophyta; Magnoliopsida; Poales; Poaceae. The record is from RNAcentral.
AUGAUCCAAAUGAAAGAAAUGAGAUGGAUGUACAAGGAGUUGAACAGGUCUUCUACUAAAUUUAGUUUUUUUUUCUUGGAUGUGGAGUUUCUACACCCAGGAGCAAACAGUAAAAUAAAAAAACAUUCAAAAAAUUCUGAAUUUUUUUGUUGCAUACUUUUACAAAUGUUUGUUUUGCAUGCAAAAUUUCAUCGCAAAAUCACAUUGGUGAAAGGCGUGGUAAAAAAACAAAAUCGGUGCUCUGAAAAUGUUAAUUACAAAAGCAUUUGGAGCACUGAUUUUGUUUUUUUCUUUUGGCACGACUUCCACCAAUAUGAUUUCGUGAUGGAAUUUUGCAUGCACAUCAAACAUUUGUGA